Molecule: ribosomal RNA, 451 nt
Filed under: uncultured bacterium
Lineage: Bacteria
Description: bacterial SSU rRNA
Rfam family: Bacterial small subunit ribosomal RNA
Source: RNAcentral
AUUGAACGCUGGCGGCAUGCCUUACACAUGCAAGUCGAACGGCAGCGCGGGGCAACCUGGCGGCGAGCGGCGAACGGGUGAGUAAUGUAUCGGAACGUAUCCUUAAGUGGGGGACAACUAGUCGAAAGACUAGCUAAUACCGCAUACGAUCGAGAGAUGAAAGUGGGGGACCGCAAGGCCUCACGCUUUUGGAGCGGCCGAUAUCCGAUUAGCUAGUUGGUGAGGUAAAGGCUCACCAAGGCAUCGAUCAGUAGCUGGUCUGAGAGGACGACCAGCCACACUGGAACUGAGACACGGUCCAGACUCCUACGGGAGGCAGCAGUGGGGAAUUUUGGACAAUGGGGGCAACCCUGAUCCAGCAAUGCCGCGUGAGUGAAGAAGGCCUUCGGUUGUAACUGCUUUGUCAGGGAAGAAAUACUUCUGGCGUAAUAUCCCGGGAGGAGUGACGGUA